RNAcentral lists this ribosomal RNA (391 nucleotides) under uncultured bacterium. RNAcentral's name for it is "bacterial SSU rRNA". It matches the Rfam family "Bacterial small subunit ribosomal RNA", at positions 29 to 424 of the family's 1533-position model. The record is from RNAcentral.
AUUGAACGCUGGCGGCGUGCCUAACACAUGCAAGUCGAGCGGCAGCGCGGGAGCAAUCCUGGCGGCGAGCGGCGGACGGGUGAGUAACGCUUGGGGAUCUGCCUGUUAGUGGGGGACAACCCGGGGAAACUCGGGCUAAUACCGCAUACGCACUACGGUGGAAAGCCGGGGACCGCAAGGCCUGGCGCUAACAGAUGAGCCCAAGUCGGAUUAGCUAGUUGGUAGGUAACGGCCACCAAGGCGACGAUCCGUAACUGGUCUGAGAGGACGACCAGUCACACCGGAACUGAGACACGGUCCGGACUCCUACGGGAGGCAGCAGUGGGGAAUAUUGGACAAUGGGGAAACCCUGAUCCAGCGACGCCGCGUGGGUGAAGAAGGCCUUAGGGUU